UACGAAGGGGGCUAGCGUUGCUCGGAAUCACUGGGCGUAAAGGGUGCGUAGGCGGGUAUUUAAGUCAGGGGUGAAAUCCUGGAGCUCAACUCCAGAACUGCCUUUGAUACUGAAGAUCUUGAGUUCGGGAGAGGUGAGUGGAACUGCGAGUGUAGAGGUGAAAUUCGUAGAUAUUCGCAAGAACACCAGUGGCGAAGGCGGCUCACUGGCCCGGUACUGACGCUGAGGUGCGAAAGCGUGGGGAGCAAACAGG
This 253-nucleotide ribosomal RNA is filed under the name uncultured bacterium. RNAcentral's name for it is "partial 16S ribosomal RNA". It matches the Rfam family "Bacterial small subunit ribosomal RNA", at positions 524 to 776 of the family's 1533-position model. The record is from RNAcentral.